Long non-coding RNA from Panicum virgatum (switchgrass), 537 nucleotides. RefSeq lists it as uncharacterized. The record is from RefSeq and is a predicted model, not a curated record. The transcript is spliced from 4 exons. Lineage: Eukaryota; Viridiplantae; Streptophyta; Magnoliopsida; Poales; Poaceae.
CGUGGCGAGGGCCAGCCGCGGGCGGCGCGAAGCAGGUCCAGGCGGCCUAGCGCGCGGGGGGCAGCGAGCAGCGCAUGGCACGCGGGCGCAAGGAGCAGGGCGGCACACGGAUGGUCUGGGCGCGGCGCCGUCCAGUUGCUCGCCCCGGCUACUCCCACGCCGUGACGGCGAGCUGCAGACAUCUGCGCCGGGUGCUGAUUCCCGUCCUCCUGCUGUCCUGGUACUAGUCUCCUCCUGCCGCACAGCGUCCUCGACUCACCCGCCUCCGGCCACCCUGUAGAGACCCUGCGUGGAUGGAGCCUUCCGAUUCGCUGCUGUCACACACUGAAGACGUUCAGCGUGGUUCGCCAUGGGACCACUCAACUAGAAGGGAGGAACUGCUGGAGUUGAGCGGCUGCACAGGUCAAGAAUUUUGAAGAAGUUACUCAAAGAACAAAAGCAAGCUGGCAGGAUGUAUGAAGUGGCCUCGGUUGCGGCGGCGGCAGCAUUGUUCAGCAUGCGGAUGCGGGGAAUCAGCCAGCGGUGACGGCAUGGAGC